This 241-nucleotide ribosomal RNA is filed under the name uncultured Staphylococcus sp. RNAcentral describes it as "partial 16S ribosomal RNA". It matches the Rfam family "Bacterial small subunit ribosomal RNA", at positions 99 to 334 of the family's 1533-position model. Lineage: Bacteria; Bacillati; Bacillota; Bacilli; Caryophanales; Staphylococcaceae. The record is from RNAcentral.
CGGACGGGUGAGUAACACGUGGAUAACCUACCUAUAAGACUGGGAUAACUUCGGGAAACCGGAGCUAAUACCGGAUAAUAUUUUGAACCGCAUGGUUCAAAAGUGAAAGACGGUCUUGCUGUCACUUAUAGAUGGAUCCGCGCUGCAUUAGCUAGUUGGUAAGGUAACGGCUUACCAAGGCAACGAUGCAUAGCCGACCUGAGAGGGUGAUCGGCCACACUGGAACUGAGACGCGGUCCAG